UACAGAGGUGGCAAGCGUUGUUCGGAAUUACUGGGCGUAAAGGGCGCGUAGGCGGCUUUUUAAGUCAGACGUGAAAUCCCCCGGCUUAACCUGGGAACUGCGUCUGAUACUGGGAAGCUUGAAUUCGGGAGAGGGAUGCGGAAUUCCAGGUGUAGCGGUGAAAUGCGUAGAUAUCAAGUGGAACACCAGUGGCGAAGGCGAGUCCCUGGACAACUCCUGACACUGAGGCACGAAAGCUAGGGGAGCAAACAGG
Molecule: ribosomal RNA, 253 nt
Filed under: uncultured bacterium
Lineage: Bacteria
Description: partial 16S ribosomal RNA
Rfam family: Bacterial small subunit ribosomal RNA
Source: RNAcentral